GUGACGAUGCCACUAGCGAUCCGCCGGUGGAUUUUUAGCCCUGGUGGGUAGCUUCCCGGAAACGAAAGUCUUCCGGUUCCGGGGGAAGUAUGGUUGCAAAGCUGAAACUUAAAGGAAUUGACGGAAGGGCACCACCAGGAGUGGAGCCUGCGGCUUAAUUUGACUCAACACGGGGAAACUCACCCGGCCCGGACACCGUAAGGAUUGACAGAUUGAUAGCUCUUUCAUGAUUCGGUGGUUGGUGGUGCAUGGCCGUUCUUAGUUCGUGGAUCGAUUUGUCUGGUUUAUUCCCAUAACGAGCGAGACUCUAGCCUACUAAAUAGUAACGAGAUUAUCAAUGUCUCAAUUGCUUCUUAGAGGGAUUUUCGGUGUUUAGCCGCACGAGAUUGAGCAAUAACAGGUCUGUGAUGCCCUUAGAUGUCCGGGGCUGCACGCGCGCUACACUGGCGAAAUCAGCGUGCUGUAUCCAUUCUCGAAAGGGAUUGGGUAAACCCAUGAAAAUUUGCCGUGCUUGGGAUCGGAAAUUGCAAUUAUUUUCCGUGAACGAGGAAUUCCAAGUAAGUGCGAGUCAUCAACUCGCUCUGAUUACGUCCCUGCCCUUUGUACACACCGCCCGUCGCUGCCCGGGACUGAGCCAUUUCGAGAAGAUCAGGGACUGGUGGACUGUGGCCUUUUCGGAGGUCCUGUUCGCUGGAAACUGAUUUGAUCGCAGUGGCUUGAACCGGGCAAAAGUCGUAACAAUGUAUCCCGUAGGUGAACCUGCGGAACGAUCAA
Molecule: ribosomal RNA, 774 nt
Filed under: uncultured eukaryote
Lineage: Eukaryota
Description: SSU rRNA
Rfam family: Eukaryotic small subunit ribosomal RNA
Source: RNAcentral